Molecule: ribosomal RNA, 425 nt
Filed under: uncultured bacterium
Lineage: Bacteria
Description: bacterial SSU rRNA
Rfam family: Bacterial small subunit ribosomal RNA
Source: RNAcentral
GUCGGGAAUUUUGGGCAAUGGGCGAAAGCCUGACCCAGCAACGCCGCGUGAAGGAUGAAGUAUUUCGGUAUGUAAACUUCGAAAGAAUAGGAAGAAUUAAUGACGGUACUAUUUAUAAGGUCCGGCUAACUACGUGCCAGCAGCCGCGGUAAUACGUAGGGACCAAGCGUUGUUCGGAUUUACUGGGCGUAAAGGGCGCGUAGGCGGUGCUGUAAGUCACUUGUGAAAUCUCUGAGCUUAACUCAGAACGGCCAAGUGAUACUGCAGCACUAGAGUGCGGAAGGGGCAAUCGGAAUUCUUGGUGUAGCGGUGAAAUGCGUAGAUAUCAAGAGGAACACCUGAGGUGAAGACGGGUUGCUGGGCCGACACUGACGCUGAGGCGCGAAAGCCAGGGGAGCAAACGGGAUUAGAUACCCGUGUAGUCC